RNAcentral lists this ribosomal RNA (408 nucleotides) under uncultured Candidatus Altimarinota bacterium. Its description in RNAcentral is "bacterial SSU rRNA". It matches the Rfam family "Bacterial small subunit ribosomal RNA", at positions 506 to 916 of the family's 1533-position model. Lineage: Bacteria; Candidatus Altimarinota. The record is from RNAcentral.
UGCCAGCAGCCGCGGUAAUACGUAUGUCUCAAGCGUUAUCCGGAAUUACUGGGUGUAAAGGGUUUGUAGGUGGUGAAAUAAGUUGGAUAUGAAAGACCGGAGCUUAACUUCGAGUUUGUAUUCAAAACUGUUUUACUAGAAUUAGGGAGAGGUAAGCGGAAUUCUAAGUGUAGGGGUGCAAUCCGUAGAUACUUAGAAGAACACCAAAAGCGAAGGCAGCUUACUGGAACUAUAUUGACGCUGAAAAACGAAAGCGUGGGGAGCAAAAAGGAUUAGAUACCCUUGUAGUCCACGCCCUAAACGUUGAUAACUUAGUGUUGGAGAGAGAUCUUCAGUGCUGAAGCUAACGCGAUAAGUUAUCCACCUGAGGAGUACGGUCGCAAGAUUAAAACUCAAAGGAAUUGACGG